CAGGACAACAAAGAGCCUCCACUCACAGGAAGAUGAAUGCAGCGCGCCUUGGCCACACAAGAGCCUCCUAAUUCAAGCUCCUGUUUUUUCGGACCCUCCAAUAAAGUGGCUGCUUUGAUGCCGAGCAGUAAAAAUGAUGCUAAUGCAGAGACAUGAUGAUGGGUCCUCUAGGGCAUAAAUUACCCUUUUCCAGUUGAAGGAAAGCUUGAAGGGCGCCAGGAAAAAGAUUACAAAGCUCAAGGGGGGCAGGAGGAGAAAUCGCAAACCAGGGAGUG
Molecule: long non-coding RNA, 275 nt
Organism: Alosa sapidissima (American shad)
Lineage: Eukaryota; Metazoa; Chordata; Actinopteri; Clupeiformes; Clupeidae
Exons: 3
Source: RefSeq, a predicted model, not a curated record